This 1449-nucleotide long non-coding RNA is filed under the name Brassica napus (rape). Its description in RNAcentral is "long non-coding RNA (BNAP_LNC010042)". The record is from RNAcentral. Lineage: Eukaryota; Viridiplantae; Streptophyta; Magnoliopsida; Brassicales; Brassicaceae.
GAUCAAUGCAUUAAAAUCUCAUCAAUUCUUUUAAAAUACUGCAGAAGCUUUUACAUAUGAAUUCAUUCAAAUUCAAUUAUAUUCAUGGAUCCAAUACCACCCCCUUAAUCUUUUCACAAUUCACUCUCAAAUCUUAAACUCCAAACUUCAAACACCAUAUUCCAAACUUAAACUUUAUACCUGAAACCAUAAAACCUAAACUUCAAAGUUUAUAUCUAAUCUACAUGAGCUUCCAUUCGAUGACAUAAACCCUGCCAAAGAGUAUUUCAAACCUUAAACCCCAAACCUUAUAUCAUACUUCAAACCCUAAACUUUAAAUACAAAAUCUAAGUUUUAAACUUUAUCCUUAAUCAAAAUUCAAAAUUAACCAUUUUUAAAAUCUAACCUUUAAUUUUAUUCUGUAAAUAUCAUUCUUUUAUGGUUGCUCAAAUAAAUUUGAAAUUUCAUAAUAAUAUAAAGAUUAUGUUUAGAGAUUAAAUUAGCAUGUGUGGUUUGAGGUUCAGAUUUCAUAUUUGAAAAUGUUGACCAAAAAAAUAUUUAAUAUUUGAAACUAAUUUUAUAAAAUAUUAAACUUUGAAUUUAAAAUUAAGAUUUGAGAUUAAGAUAAUAAAAUAUUUUAGUUUUGAGGGUUGUGUUUAAAGUUUAGGGCUUCAACCCUAAUCUUUAAACAUAAACUUUAAAACUUUAUUUUUUUCAUAAUAUAAAUUUAAUCUUAAAUUUAAUCAUUUUAAAAGUACAAUCCAAACUAUAAAUUCUCAACCUCAAACACUAAAUCGUAAAUCUGCACCCUAAAUCUAAUCCCUAAACCCUAAACCUAAAUCUUGCAUACAAAAUUUUAAAACUCUAAUCUUUUAUUAUUUAACUUUAUAUCUUAAAUUUAAUUUUAAAGUCUGAUAUUAAAUCUUAAAUCUAUACACAGAACACUAUAUUCCAAACCUUAAAUUUAAUAUUUUCACAAUUCACUCUUAAAUCUUAAAUUCCAAACUUCAAACACAAUACUCUAAACCUAAACUUUAUACCUCAAACCAUAAAACCUAAACUUCAAAGCUUAUAUCUAAUCUAAAACUAUAUACUUAAUUCAAAUGUUCAAACCAAUAAUUCUAUACCCUAAACUCUAAUUCGUAAACCAUAAUUCCAAUUUAUAUAAUCUAAACAUUAAUAACCAAAUUUAAAUUUUUAAAAUUUAUAUUCAAAUCUAAAAUUAAUUUUUCAAAUUUUAAAUUGUGAAAUCCAAAUCUUUGAAUUUUGUCUCAAAAUAAUUUAUGUAUAUUACAAUAUACUUUGGGUAUUAAAACAAAAAUAGAAUAAGAAUAUAGUUACAAAAAUUUGAUUGGUCAAAACACACUGACCAAUAAUGUACAAGGGCGAGGAUUAGACAUUUUCAACCACAACCGUUGAUUAACCUUAAAUCUAAUGGACAAGGGUGUUUCUUUCUCUCUCCCCUCUUAC